GACGAACGCUGGCGGCGUGCUUAACACAUGCAAGUCGAACGCUGAAGCUCAGCUUUUGUUGGGUGGAUGAGUGGCGAACGGGUGAGUAACACGUGAGUAACCUGCCCCCUUCUUUGGGAUAACGCCCGGAAACGGGUGCUAAUACUGGAUAUUCACUGGUCUUCGCAUGGGGGUUGGUGGAAAGGGUUUUUCUGGUGGGGGAUGGGCUCGCAGCCUAUCAGCUUGUUGGUGGGGUGAUGGCCUACCAAGGCUUUGACGGGUAGCCGGCCUGAGAGGGUGACCGGUCACAUUGGGACGGAGAUACGGCCCAGACUCCUACGGGAGGCAGCAGUGGGGAAUAUUGCACAAUGGGCGCAAGCCUGAUGCAGCGACGCCGCGUGAGGGAUGGAGGCCUUCGGGUUGUGAACCUCUUUCGCUCAUGGUCAAGCCGCAACAAUGGUUGUGGUGAGGGUAGUGGGUAAAGAAGCGCCGGCUAACUACGUG
RNAcentral lists this ribosomal RNA (483 nucleotides) under uncultured bacterium. RNAcentral's name for it is "partial 16S ribosomal RNA". It matches the Rfam family "Bacterial small subunit ribosomal RNA", at positions 28 to 507 of the family's 1533-position model. The record is from RNAcentral.